RNAcentral lists this ribosomal RNA (253 nucleotides) under uncultured bacterium. Its description in RNAcentral is "partial 16S ribosomal RNA". It matches the Rfam family "Bacterial small subunit ribosomal RNA", at positions 524 to 776 of the family's 1533-position model. The record is from RNAcentral.
UACAGAGGUCUCAAGCGUUGUUCGGAUUCAUUGGGCGUAAAGAGCUCGUAGGCGGCUGUUCAAGUCGAACGUGAAAACUCGGAGCUCAACUCCGAGCCUGCGUUCGAUACUGGACGGCUAGAGUCUGGUAGGGGGAUCUGGAAUUCCUGGUGUAGCGGUGGAAUGCGCAGAUAUCAGGAGGAACACCGGUGGCGAAGGCGGGAUCCUGGGCCAGUACUGACGCUGAGGAGCGAAAGCAUGGGGAGCAAACAGG